AUACGUAGGUGACAAGCGUUAUCCGGAUUUACUGGGCGUAAAGGGCGUGUAGGCGGUCUUGCAAGUCAGAAGUGAAAUUCCUGAGCUCAACUCGGGCGCUGCUUCUGAAACUGCAGGACUUGAGUGCUGGAGGGGAUAGCGGAAUUCCUAGUGGAGCGGUAAAAUGCGGAGAUAUUAGGAAGAACACCGGUGGCGAAGGCGGUUAACUGGACAGUUACUGACGCUGAGGCGGGAAAGGGUGGGGAGCAAACAGGAUUAAGUACCCUGGUAGUCCCCGCCGUAAACGAUGAAUACUAGGUGUAGGGGGUAUCGACUCCCUCUGUGCCGCAGUUAACACAAUAAGUAUUCCGCCUGGGGAGUACGGCCGCAAGGUUGAAACUCAAAUGAAUUGACGGGG
This 397-nucleotide ribosomal RNA is filed under the name uncultured bacterium. RNAcentral describes it as "partial 16S ribosomal RNA". It matches the Rfam family "Bacterial small subunit ribosomal RNA", at positions 523 to 918 of the family's 1533-position model. The record is from RNAcentral.